UUCAGGGCACCACAGUGCUGGAUCUGAAACAAAAGAUUGAAGCUCUCGAUGGAAUUCCAGUGUCACAACAGCGACUGAUCGUCGAAGGCCGGCAACUGAAGGACAACUUUCUACUAUCAUACUACGGAAUUCAAAAUGAAGCAACCAUUCACUUGGUGUUAAGAUUGAAGGGUGGAGCUGAGCCUGGGGGCCCGGGAGAUCCUGGACUGGGUGACAAGGAUGGGAAACACAGUAGUAAUGAAAGGCUCGCUGACUUUUAAAACCUUCCCUGGACAGAACUGUUUCCUGGAGACAUUUUAACACCAGAGCUUCACACAAGUGUCCAAACGAUUAUCCCAUAUCACACUCUGCUGGGAUUUUAGUGUAAAACCAAUAUUGGAUUAAUCAUAUAAUUGCAUAUGUCUUGUUAUGCGCCUGCUCUGUGUGUGGAUUGUUUAAAGUGUUUGAACAGGGAAAGUUAAUGGAUGUGUCUUGCACCUUGAUUUUUUUAGACAACUUUCAGGGAGUGGCUUAAAGUGCAAAUCACUGUCAUCACUACCUGUCCACUUCCUGUAGCAUAAGUGCUAAUGCUAACCUUGUUUUAAGUGUUAUGCAUCCAGGGAGCUGUUUCAUGAUAUCAAUGAUCAGGAAACACAUGAAAAGUGUUGACAGUUGUCAAAAGACUACAUUUGUGUCAUUAUUUGUUUUAUUUAGCUGUUGUUUAACCCAGUCCAACAUAUUCACUAAUGAGCAGCUGUUUGACAUCCAAUAUAAAAUCUACACUGACUGAUGAAGAAAAGCCUGAUUCAGUGAUGCAGUUGUUAAUGAUGAAGGAAGCAGCCUUCAGUGGCAACAUGUCAACUAAUGCAUUUUAAAACAUUGUGCAAAAACAGAUGUGUUUUAUGCUCACAAUAUAAAUGAACAAAUACACUUUUAUUAUAGUAAA
This is a long non-coding RNA of Gymnodraco acuticeps, 925 nucleotides long. RefSeq lists it as uncharacterized. NCBI's taxonomy places the organism in Eukaryota, Metazoa, Chordata, Actinopteri, Perciformes, Bathydraconidae. The record is from RefSeq and is a predicted model, not a curated record. The transcript is spliced from 2 exons.